GCAGUCGCCGCGGUAAUACGUAGGUGGCAAGCGUUGUCCGGAAUUAUUGGGCGUAAAGGGCUCGCAGGCGGUUUCUUAAGUCUGAUGAGAAAGCCCCCGGCUCAACCGGGGAGGGUCAUUGGAAACUGGGAAACUUGAGUGCAGAAGAGGAGAGUGGAAUUCCACGUGUAGCGGUGAAAUGCGUAGAGAUGUGGAGGAACACCAGUGGCGAAGGCGACUCUCUGGUCUGUAACUGACGCUGAGGAGCGAAAGCGUGGGGAGCGAACAGGAUUAGAUACCCCAGUAGUCCCUGUCUCUUAUAC
Molecule: ribosomal RNA, 302 nt
Filed under: uncultured bacterium
Lineage: Bacteria
Description: partial 16S ribosomal RNA
Rfam family: Bacterial small subunit ribosomal RNA
Source: RNAcentral